AGAAAAGAGGAGAAGAUGAGCAGCUGACUUUGCCUCCCCCGUUAUAAAAGGGAGGAGGGGGCAGGGAGGAAGCCGUCCAUAGAUUCCUCCGCCUCGUCACUCCACUCCUUGAGAUUUGAGAACCACAAGGGCCACCCCCCACCCACCCUCCAAGGACAUGGCGGACGCCGUCGACCGCUUGAAGACCGGGUUCAACAAGUUCAAGACCGAGGUCUAUGACAAGAAGCCGGAGCUGUUCGAGCCUCUCAAGGCCGGCCAGUCCCCCAAGUACAUGGUGUUUGCGUGCUCCGACUCCCGUGUGUGCCCGUCGGUGACCCUGGGUCUGCAGCCCGGUGAGGCCUUCACCGUCCGCAACAUCGCCGCCAUGGUCCCAGCCUACGACAAGACCAAGUACACCGGCAUUGGGUCUGCCAUUGAGUACGCCGUGUGCGCCCUCAAGGUGCAGGUCCUCGUCGUCAUUGGCCACAGCUGCUGUGGUGGCAUCAGGGCGCUCCUCUCCCUCCAGGAUGGCGCACCUGACACCUUCCACUUCGUUGAGGACUGGGUCAGGAUCGGCUUCCCUGCCAAGAUCAAGGUGAAGAAAGAGCACGCUUCGGUGCCGUUCGAUGACCAGUGUUCCAUCCUGGAGAAGGAGGCCGUGAACGUGUCCCUCGACAACCUCAAGACGUACCCCUUCGUCAAGGAAGGGCUGGCCAACGGGACCCUCAGGCUGGUCGGCGGCCACUACAACUUCGUGUCAGGGGAGUUCGACACAUGGGAAAUUAAGAGGGACGCCGUCGAGCGCUUGAAGACCGGGUUCGAGCAGUUCAAGGCCGAUGUCUACGACAAGAAGCCGGAGCUGUUCGAGCCACUCAAGGCGCACCAGUCACCCAAGUACAUGGUGUUCGCCUGCUCCGACUCCCGCGUGUGCCCGUCGGUGACCCUGGGCCUGCACCCCGGCGAGGCCUUCGCCGUCCGCAACAUCGCCAGCAUGGUGCCACCCUACGACAAGACCAAGUACGCCGGCGUCGGGUCCGCCAUCGAGUACGCCGUGUGCGCCCUCAAGGUGGAGGUCAUCGUCGUCAUCGGCCACAGCCGCUGCGGCGGGAUCAAGGCGCUCCUCUCCCUCGAGGACGGCGCGCCCGACAAGUUCCACUUCGUGGAGGAAUGGGUCAGGAUCGGCGGUCCGGCCAAGACUAAGGUGAAGACCGACCACGCCUCGGUGCCGUUCGAAGACCAAUGCUCCAUCCUCGAGAAGGAGGCCGUGAACGUGUCCCUUGAGAACCUCAAGACGUACCCGUUCGUCAAGGAAGGGGUGGAGAAAGGGACCCUCAAGCUGGUCGGCGGCCACUACGACUUCGUCAAUGGAAAGUUCGAGACAUGGGAGCCCUAAGCCGCGCGCGGCCGGCCAAAUUAACAGCCGCAGCAAGGCUUCAUCAUAUAACUCCAACAAGGCUACACCAUAUAUACAUGCAUAUUAUAUACAAACGCUCCCGAACCUAUUUGCCGCGUGGAGUACUUAUUUGCCGCUAUAUACUAGCUAUACACAUACCGGAAUUGACGUACCGGUGAGAACAACUAUACUGUAAUAAGCAAUACCUGCGUGCUUUGACUUCUAACGCGGAGUUGUUUUUUUUUUAUGAUAAUAUGAUGCAUAUAUAAUUUGAUUAAUCUGUGGUCCUCACUGUUCUUUGUC
Sorghum bicolor (sorghum) is the source of this 1675-nucleotide RNA transcript. It is a transcript of the gene named carbonic anhydrase-like, with no coding region annotated. NCBI's taxonomy places the organism in Eukaryota, Viridiplantae, Streptophyta, Magnoliopsida, Poales, Poaceae. The record is from RefSeq and is a predicted model, not a curated record. The transcript is spliced from 13 exons.